This 1654-nucleotide ribosomal RNA is filed under the name Ascomycota sp. CCFEE 5497. Its description in RNAcentral is "LSU rRNA". It matches the Rfam family "Eukaryotic large subunit ribosomal RNA", at positions 56 to 1415 of the family's 3401-position model. Lineage: Eukaryota; Fungi; Ascomycota. The record is from RNAcentral.
GAACAACAGGGAUACCUCAGUAACGGCGAGUGAAGCGGUAAUAGCUCAAAUUUGAAAUCUGGCUCUUUUAGGGUCCGAGUUGUAAUUUGUAGAGGAUGUUUCGGGCACGGUUACGGUUUAAAUUUCUUGGAACAGAAUGUCAAAGAGGGUGAGAGUCCCGUCUUGAACCGAUUACUUCGUCCAUGUGAAACUCCUUCGACGAGUCGAGUUGUUUGGGAAUGCAGCUCAAAAUGGGUGGUAAAUUUCAUCUAAAGCUAAAUAUUGGCCAGAGACCGAUAGCGCACAAGUAGAGUGAUCGAAAGAUGAAAAGCACUUUGAAAAGAGAGUUAAACAGUAUGUGAAAUUGUUGAAAGGGAAGCGCUUGUAAUCAGACUUGAGCUUAACAGUUCCCCCUUCGUUCUCGUUGGGUUAUUCUGUUUUGUCCAGGCCAACAUCAGUUCGGGUGGUUGGUUAAAGACUUUAGGAAUGUAUCUACCCUUCGGGGUCGACUUAUAGCCUAGGGUGUCAUGCAGCCUACCUGGACUGAGGAACGCGCUUCGGCUCGGAUGUUGGCGUAAUGGUUAUAAGCGACCCGUCUUGAAACACGGACCAAGGAGUCUAACAUCUAUGCAAGUCUUUGAGUGGAAAACUCGCAGGCGUAAUGAAAGUGAACGGAGGUAAGAAGCCUUUAGGCUGCAUUAUCGACCGAUCUUGAUGUCUUCGGAUGGAUUUGAGUAAGAGCAUAGCUGUUGGGACCCGAAAGAUGGUGAACUAUGCCUGAAUAGGGUGAAGCCAGAGGAAACUCUGGUGGAGGCUCGCAGCGGUUCUGACGUGCAAAUCGAUCGUCAAAUUUGGGUAUAGGGUAAGUUUAUCAUUUUCUUUUUAUUUCCCCACUCCGACACUUAAAGCAAUAUGCUAAUUUAAUGUUUUAACAGGGCGAAAGACUAAUCGAACCAUCUGGUAGCUGGUUCAUGCCGAAGUUUCCCUCAGGAUAGCAGUAACGUUUUCAGUUUUAUGAGGUAAAGCGAAUGAUUAGAGGCCUUGGGAGUGAAACACUCUUAACCUAUUCUCAAACUUUAAAUAUGUAAGAAGUCCUUGUUACUUAAUUGAACGUGGACAUUUGAAUGUAUCGUUACUAGUGGGCCAUUUUUGGUAAGCAGAACUGGCGAUGCGGGAUGAACCGAACGUGAGGUUAAGGUGCCGGAAUACACGCUCAUCAGACACCACAAAAGGUGUCAAUGCAUCUAGACAGCCGGACGGUGGCCAUGGAAGUCGGAAUCCGCUUAGGAGUGUGUAAUAACUAAAAUCGCGGAUGAACCCCACAGGGGUGUUGCACACAAUAAAUCUACCCUUGGUAGAUUAGUAGGCCUCUCUAGGUCUUACAAUGGCUUUAGUUAACCGGGACUUGGUUAUAGAACAAUAACCUUCAACCGGUGGUGGGCUGUUAUAAGCUCACUCACAGACUAGAAGAAGCCAGCUAGGUCACUGUGACCUAGUUAAGAAAUAGCCGAUUAAAACAUUUAACAAGGUUAUUUAAUCAAGAACAACUCACCGGCCGAAUGCAUUGGCCCUGAAAAUGGAUGGCGCUUAAGCGUGUUACCUAUACCUCGCCAUUAGAGUUGAAAUUAUGCUCUAAUGAGUAGGCAUGCGUGGGGGUUUGUGACGAAGCCUGGGC